AACAGGGAGGCCACCAUCAUGGGCCAAGGCAGCCACAGAAGCAGAUGGCUGUGAUAUAGAGUGAUUUUGGUGACAAGGUAGGGGUCAGAUUGGAGAAGGGUGGAGGCAAAGGGAAGACUGGCUUGUCCUCAGGGACCAGAGGGCCUCAAGGGGCCUCUCAUCUUGCGGCCCUUCCAGCUGGGGUGGGUAGGGCCACUGCCAUGCCCGGGCUAGAAAUCCUAGCCCUCUGCCGUCAGAUUUACUGCCACCCUUAGGGCAGGCAGGAGAGGGAAUCACGUUGUAAAACAAACACAGAUCUGCUAGGGAGUGGAAUGCAAAAUUCAGCGGGUUCCUUAAGAAGAGUGGAGACCUGAAGGUGAGGGGGUCUCUGGUUUCGUUCUUUGAUCCGCCUUCCCCUUCUUCCACCUGCCAGCUGCCCCUCGCUGCCGCGGAGACGCCGUGCUGGGUUUGAGACGCUGGGAGGGCAAAGCUGGGCCGGGACUAGGACCCUACCCGCUACUUGGGGCCAGGCGCUCACGUGAGCGCGGGGCGGGGUCAGGCGCACACCUGGGCGCAGGGCGGGACCGGGCGCUGGGCGGGACCAGGCGCACACCAGAGCGCGGGGCGGGGCCAGGUGGCGGUCUCCGCCCCUCCUUCUCCCUCCACUUCUCCCAGGCUCCCAGUCUUGCCUUCCUAAGCUGCUAAGUGUUAGGGACACCGGAGACAGCUAGGUGGCCUGUGAAAGGAGAUCCCUGGGGACAAAGCCAGGAUCCAACCCCUGAAGCCCCGUGGAGGGGGUUGGGGGGCGCUGUGUCCAGGGCUGCCCGUGGACUGUCUCACCUGAUCUUGCCCACAAGUCUAGGAAGUAGGUCAUCAACACCCUGUUUCACAGGAACUGCGCUCAGACUCCUAACCGCAAAGUUGACUCAACAGCCAACCAGGGUCAAGAAUGGAAGGCACCAGUGCCAUUCCCCCCCCCCAAACCCCCCCCCCCCCCCCCCCCCCCCCCCCGCGGAGUAGAAAUGAACUUGAGGGUGAGCGUGGGGGAAUUCUGCUGCUGUUAAAUGUCAGAAGAAUUGUUAUGGGGAAGAGGGAGACUUUUGGCCAGCCACAGCAGAGAGCCUCCAUAUUUUGGAACUCCAGUUGCAAUCCCUUCUUUUUGGGGCGGCGGGGGUCCACCCCCCACCUCAUUCCAGCUGGUUACUGCAUGGCUGCCAAUCACAAGGGCCUGCCCCUCCUCUCCUGGGGCAGGCCUAGGACUCAAACCAGGCAACAGGACUCUGGAUCCUACAAUCACCAAUGGGGAGAGUGCGUCUGACGGCCACAUCCUGGAAAGGUGGUCCAUAAACUCAACCAGUCAAGAGGAAGUGGUAACUGGGCCAGAACCCUGGUCUGUGAGACUCCCGAGACCAAGCUCAGGCACUCCUAACCUUAAAGACAUCUCUCGUGGGACCACCAGCCAGCCAAAGGCACAAAAGCCACCUCCCCUCCCGGGAGGUGCGGGCACCCAGCCUUUCCUGCAGGGGCGUGGCCAAUGUGUUCCAAGAAAUCUCCCCA
This is a long non-coding RNA of Mustela erminea (ermine), 1536 nucleotides long. RefSeq lists it as uncharacterized. The transcript has 4 exons. The record is from RefSeq and is a predicted model, not a curated record. NCBI's taxonomy places the organism in Eukaryota, Metazoa, Chordata, Mammalia, Carnivora, Mustelidae.